CCACGAGGAAAGCGGAGUUCUCGGCACGUUUCAGUUCAGUUCGGUAUGAAAAUGACACUCGAGGUCCUAAUAUUGCCUUAUUUUAAUAUUCGUAUCUGACAACUGGCUGAUGCCUACUAGGGAAUAUUGCUCCAUUUUGACUGGUCACAGGGCCAAUCAGAUAUAGGCUAAUUUAUAGGACGGUGUUUACAGGCACUGUAGCCUAUAGCCUAAAGUAUUUUUUCAGCUCUAAUUUCAAUAUCAUCUGAAAUGUAUCCACACAAGGUAAAUAUUCGUCCUGUUGAAUGUCUAGCAUGAUCUCCAGCCCGUUUCCUGUCCCGCCUUUUAACGUCGUCAACAACGGGUUGCCGUCCAAGCCAGAGUUGAAGGUGUAGCAUUUCCCAUACCGCGUGUAAAUCUGCAAGUAGAAGAAGACAGAGAGCGGUAAGAAGAAUCCAGAAGUCAGCGGCCAGCAGGAUUACUUAUUUGUAAUCAAAAUUGCUGACAUCUCCGCCUGAGUGUGUGCUGUUGUAUUCCCUGGGCAGACUGAGUCUGAGCCCCAUGGCCUGAGCAGAGCCGAAAAGAGGCCGUCUGUAUCAAUGAAUACCAGAAGCUGUUGCCUACACACAGCCUGUUGUUCCCAGGUCCCCGAGCACAGCAGAGCAGGCCGCAUCCAUCUGAAGGAAACAUAUCUGUUCUGUCACUCAAAAAUGUAUAGUCCACAGACCACAGUCACACUUUGAGAGACUCCUCAUUCCUUGAAUUCUCUCAUCCUCUCCAACAGGUCAUUCAUUUCAUGGAUCAUGCCCUUCUGGUGUGGUAGCGCUGCAGUGCUUUAAAAUGUCCCAAUGCAUUGGGUUUGGGUUGUUCAGAAUAAACUUUGUAGGGUUCUUCUUGAGAUCGAACUGUUAAAACUAUUUUGCACAUUCUGCAGAAAAUAAAGCGGACUAAGCACUUGCCUUGGGCGUAAUAUGCUGUAGCUAUUUCAAAUCCAGUAAGACACAGUUAUGAUUCUACUCUGCACUUGUAAUCACAAAACAUGUUCAGGGCCUAUUGAAAGUCUACACCCCUUGAAGGUUUUUCAUAAAAAUGUUGCGUGCCUUAGAGUUUCAUGCAUUUAAAUAAGGAUUUGUUUCCACUGAUCUACACACUAGCUGACG
Molecule: long non-coding RNA, 1139 nt
Organism: Oncorhynchus kisutch (coho salmon)
Lineage: Eukaryota; Metazoa; Chordata; Actinopteri; Salmoniformes; Salmonidae
Exons: 3
Source: RefSeq, a predicted model, not a curated record